GAAUUGACGGGGGCCCGCACAAGCGGUGGAGCAUGUGGUUUAAUUCGACGCAACGCGAAGAACCUUACCCGGUCUUGACAUCUGCAGAAUUCUUCAGAGAUGGAGGAGUGCCGGUUUUACCGGAGCUGCAAGACAGGUGCUGCAUGGCUGUCGUCAGCUCGUGUCGUGAGAUGUUGGGUUAAGUCCCGCAACGAGCGCAACCCUUGUGAUUAGUUGCUACGCAAGAGCACUCUAAUCAGACUGCCGUUGACAAAACGGAGGAAGGUGGGGACGACGUCAAAUCAUCAUGCCCCUUAUGAUCUGGGCUACACACGUACUACAAUGGCCAUCAACAAAGGGAAGCAAAGCCGCGAGGCGGAGCAAAUCCCCAAAAAUGGUCCCAGUUCGGAUCGCAGGCUGCAACCCGCCUGCGUGAAGCCGGAAUUGCUAGUAAUCGCGGAUCAUCAUGCCGCGGUGAAUACGUUCCCGGGCCUUGUACACACCG
This 484-nucleotide ribosomal RNA is filed under the name uncultured Papillibacter sp. Its description in RNAcentral is "bacterial SSU rRNA". It matches the Rfam family "Bacterial small subunit ribosomal RNA", at positions 907 to 1392 of the family's 1533-position model. The record is from RNAcentral. Lineage: Bacteria; Bacillati; Bacillota; Clostridia; Eubacteriales; Oscillospiraceae.